GCUUAAAUAUAUUUAAAAGACGAGAAGACCCUGUAGAGUUUUAUAAAAUUUUAAAUAUUAAUUUUUUAGUA
This 71-nucleotide transfer RNA is filed under the name Podagrica fuscipes. Its description in RNAcentral is "tRNA-Tyr". Lineage: Eukaryota; Metazoa; Arthropoda; Insecta; Coleoptera; Chrysomelidae. The record is from RNAcentral.